Molecule: ribosomal RNA, 481 nt
Filed under: uncultured bacterium
Lineage: Bacteria
Description: partial 16S ribosomal RNA
Rfam family: Bacterial small subunit ribosomal RNA
Source: RNAcentral
GAUGAACGCUGGCGGCGUGCUUAACACAUGCAAGUCGAACGAAGCACUUUAUUUGAUUUCCUUCGGGACUGAUUAUUUUGUGACUGAGUGGCGGACGGGUGAGUAACGCGUGGGUAACCUGCCUUGUACAGGGGGAUAACAGUUGGAAACGGCUGCUAAUACCGCAUAAGCGCACAGCAUCGCAUGAUGCAGUGUGAAAAACUCCGGUGGUAUAAGAUGGACCCGCGUUGGAUUAGCUAGUUGGUGAGGUAACGGCCCACCAAGGCGACGAUCCAUAGCCGAGCUGUGAGGGUGACCGGCCACAUUGGGACUGAGACACGGCCCAAACUCCUACGGGAGGCAGCAGUGGGGAAUAUUGCACAAUGGGCGAAAGCCUGAUGCAGCGCCGCCGCGUGAGCGAAGAAGUAUUUCGGUAUGUAAAGCUCUAUCAGCAGGGAAGAUAAUGACGGUACCUGACUAAGAAGCACCGGCUAAAUACGUG